RNAcentral lists this long non-coding RNA (246 nucleotides) under Mytilus galloprovincialis (Mediterranean mussel). Lineage: Eukaryota; Metazoa; Mollusca; Bivalvia; Mytilida; Mytilidae. The record is from RNAcentral.
UUUUAGAAUCAAACUCUUUAUUUCAUUUUUAUGUAUUUGAUUAAUUUACUCGUAUGGUUGGACUCAAAAUAAAUAUAUAUAGACAUCUUUGUUUUAUUCACCAGGAAGCCUCGAAAGAAAGCAAACGACAGUCCCCCAAAUUGUCGUAGUUAAAAUACGGAGAAGAAACAUGUAAAACAGAAACCAACAACACAAACACCCUUCAACGGGAAAGGGGAGGCAACUGUCUUAGUCUGCGCUUUCCCC